This 467-nucleotide ribosomal RNA is filed under the name uncultured bacterium. RNAcentral describes it as "bacterial SSU rRNA". It matches the Rfam family "Bacterial small subunit ribosomal RNA", at positions 355 to 825 of the family's 1533-position model. The record is from RNAcentral.
UAAGGAAUAUUGGGCAAUGGAGGGAACUCUGACCCAGCCAUGCCGCGUGCAGGAUGAAGGCGUUAUGCGUUGUAAACUGCUUUUUAUAUAGGAAGAAAUAGUCCUUGCGAGGAAAGUUGACGGUACUAUAUGAAUAAGCACCGGCUAACUCCGUGCCAGCAGCCGCGGUAAUACGGAGGGUGCAAGCGUUGUCCGGAUUUAUUGGGUUUAAAGGGUGCGUAGGCGGUUUAUUAAGUCAGUGGUGAAAGACGGUCGCUCAACGAUUGCAGUGCCAUUGAUACUGGUAGACUUGAGUAUGAUUGAGGUAGCUGGAAUGGAUAGUGUAGCGGUGAAAUGCAUAGAUAUUAUCCAGAACACCAAUUGCGUAGGCAAGUUACUAAGUCAUAACUGACGCUGAGGCACGAAAGUGUGGGUAUCAAACAGGAUUAGAUACCCCAGUAGUCCCUGAGCGGGCUGGCAAGGCGCAU